UACAGGGGGGGCAAGCGUUGUUCGGAAUUACUGGGCGUAAAGGGCCAGUAGGCGGCCAACUAAGUCCGACGUGAAAUCCCAAAGCUUAACUUUGGAACUGCGUCGGAUACUGGAUGGCUUGAAUUCGGGAGAGGGAUGCAGAAUUCCAGGUGUAGCGGUGAAAUGCGUAGAUAUCUGGAGGAAUACCGGUGGCGAAGGCAGCAUCCUGGACCGACAUUGACGCUGAACGGCGAAAGCUUGGGGAGCAAACGGG
RNAcentral lists this ribosomal RNA (253 nucleotides) under uncultured bacterium. Its description in RNAcentral is "partial 16S ribosomal RNA". It matches the Rfam family "Bacterial small subunit ribosomal RNA", at positions 524 to 776 of the family's 1533-position model. The record is from RNAcentral.